This 18031-nucleotide long non-coding RNA is filed under the name Manihot esculenta (cassava). Its description in RNAcentral is "long non-coding RNA (MESC_LNC004392)". The record is from RNAcentral. Lineage: Eukaryota; Viridiplantae; Streptophyta; Magnoliopsida; Malpighiales; Euphorbiaceae.
CAGAACCCGUAGCAAGCCUGCUAUACUCUCUGAGUUGUCACCUUCGGCGGCCGAACCUGGCUUUUCUGCCUUGGUUCUUUUCUUGCAAAACCUCUUUUCAUUUUAGCUUAAAAACAUUAAAACAUACGACAUUACUUUAGAAAAACAUAAAUCUUACCCUUCUAGAGAAUUCCGACAUCCUGGAUUCUACCGGACGACAGGAAUUCCGAUGCCGGACUCUAGCCGGGUAUUACAUGCCUGAUGGUUACCUACCUUGUGGUUUAGGCAAAAAUGUCCUCAACUUAAUUAUUUUAUUAAUUGAGACUAAUACCCGAGUAUCUGCUUGGCGGUUACCCGCUUUGUGGCUUAGGCAAAAAUGCGUUUAAUUUAUUAAUUGAAACUAACACCCGAACAUCUGUCUGGCAGUUACCCGCUUGAUGGUUUAGGAAAAAAUUUCUUUAUUAUUUGGGAAUAACACCCGGAUAUUUGCCUGGCAGUUACCCGCAUUGUGACUUAGAAAAAAUACCUUUAAUUUAUUAAUUGGGACUAACACCCGAACAUCUGCCUAGCGGUUACCCGUCUUGUGGCUUAAGCAAAAAUGUCUUUAAUUUGUUAAUUGGGACUAACAUUCGAACAUCUACCUGGCGGGCUACCCACUUUGUUGUAACGACCCGAAAACCGGACCGCUACCGGCGCUAGGAUCCAGAUCGGCAUAAGGCCGCCGGGACCCGUAGCAAGCCUAACAUACAUCCUGUAUACCUGUUAAAUCCCAUACAUGAUCAAACAUAUACAUAAAACUUUAAACUUAUUCUUUCAUUUACCAAGCUUAAUCUGUGCAUGCACAACUCAUAAACAUAAAAACCCACACUGGAGCCCUCAUCAAAUGCUCCAAUGGGGCAACAUAUCAUACAUUAAGCUUGGUUUACAUAAACAUCAUUAAAUUAUUUCAUUAAAAGAUCAUGUACCAAAAGGGAUUAACAUACACUAGGGCCAAUCACAAUUCUAUCCUCAAUACAAUUCUUUACAUUACAUCACAUUAUAACAUUUUACAAUACAUGUCCAUAUCUAACUAUUAUAUACAACAUGACUUCUUUACUCUUGCUAACUUCCUGGUUUAUUCCGUACCUGCAAACCUGGGGGAUUAAGGGAAUGGGGUGAGCUACUAGAGCCCAGUGAGCAGAAUAAUAAAAUAUUAUAUUAAAAUUCAUGCUUUCAUGAAAUGCAUCACAUCACAAACAAAUCACAUCAAGGAUGGACUUGUCACCAAUAGCCCUCUACACAUUCUAAUAGUGCCAGGGGCGUAGCAUGGGCCUCACUGGUCUUUCUCUUACAUAAGAUAACAUAACAUUCCGAUAUGCCAGGGGCGUAGAAUGGGCCUCACUGGUCUUUCUCUUACAUCGUACCAGGGGCGUAGAAUGGGCCUCACUGGUCUUACAUACCAUACCAUAUCAUAUUGUAUCAUGUCAUCAUACGAGGGCCAAUGGAUCAUUCAACACCCAUCCACAUCAACAUUAUAUUGUGCAAUGCAACAUAUUCGUGAAUUCUAGUGCAAACAACCUAAUAUAUCACAUGGCAUUCGUGAUGCAUGAACAUGCUCGAAAUUUAUUUGCUUUGAAACGUAAAGAUCCAUUCUACUCACCUCAGGCUAGCUCUGAAAAGACACUGAAGUAGCUAUCUCACUGUUGGGGUCCUCGGUUCCUCGGGUCCGAACCUACACAGGUGGACUCAAAUGAGGGACCAAACAUACAUGAACAUGACUCUAAACUAUUCUCCAAAAACCCCCUAAAACACUCUAAAACAUUCAUAGAAAACAUGCAAAGGAAGGCUGAACAGGCACCUUCGGCGGCAGGUUCGGCGGCCGAAAGUCCCUCCAGAGCCGAAACUCAGCCACUUUCGGCAGCACCUUCGGCGGCCGAAAGUGGUUCCAAAGCCGAAACUCGUGCAUGUUCGGCGGCACCUUCGGCGGCCAAAACUCCCCUCAAGAGCCGAAAGUCCAACUUUCGGAGGCAGGGUUCGACAGCCAAAGGCUUGCCUCCACAGGCAGGUUCGGCGGCCGAAAGUCAUUCGGCUGCCGAACCUGAGUUCUUCCAAAGGGCAGAACUCAGCCUCCUCAUGCACAUUUUGCCUCCCAAACCAUUCAAACAUGCAUUUAGCUAUUCUACAACAUGCAUACACAAGCAAAUAAGCAUAUAGGGGUCUCAAACUAUCCUAAACCCCAAAACAAACACAUAUAGCAACUCAUACAACACACAUUAUCCAUAAACUCAACAUUAACCUAAACAUGCAUUUCUACCCCAUAACCCCUCAAAACUUGUUUAAAACAUACAAGAAAGGUAGGAUCUAAGCUUACCUCUUGAAGAUCGAGAGGAGAGACGAUCCUAACUUGGAGAUGGGAGAAAUCUAGCUCCUUGGGUCUCCAAGCUCUAAAACUUGAUCUUAGCUUCAAAAAUCUUUAAAACCAAGUUAAAACUUGUUAAAACUUGAAAGAUUUGAGGAAAAUCAUCAAAAUCGACCAUGGGAGGGCAUAGACUCACCGUUGGCCAAAAAUAGGGGAGAAAGCUCGCCCAUUUUCGGCCAUGGGGCCUUUUAUAGGUGGCUGGCCAGGCCACCUUCGGAAGCCGAAGGUGACUCCAAAACUCAUGCAUGUUCGGCAGCCGAACAUGAGAUUCGACGGCCGAACCUGGAUUUUCCUCAAUGGUCUUUUUCAUUGAAAACUCAAUUUCUUUCUUACUUAAAGCCAUAAAAUACAUGAAAAUAUUUUAUAAAAACAUGUUUUUACCCUUCUAGAGGUUUCCGACAUCCGAGAUUCCACCGGACGGUAGGAAUUCCGAUACCGGAGUCUAGCCGGGUAUUACAUUUGUGGCUUUUUUCUGUAAGAAUUUCCUUAAUCAUCGACUCAUGCAGCCCAUCAUUCCAUAUAAUUGAAUAAAACACAACAUAUCAAAAAAAUUAUCUCGUUAAUUUUAUUGAUAAAACUUUCAUAAAUUAUAAAUAUUUCAAGAAUGGAAGAUGACACGACCAUCUAACUUGGCUAACUUAUAAGCACCGGAAUGAAUAAUCUUCGAGACCCUAAAUGGUUCUUUUUUAGUUUUCGCUUAACUUACCAGACUCAGCAUUAUUGCCUGUUAUAUCAGACUGCCUAAGAACUAAGUCUCCUACAUUAAAAACUCGAGGAUUAUCCUGUGAAUUGAACAUUUGAGACAUCUUAUUUCUGUAAAUAGUCAUUUUGAUUGAGGCUUGUUCUCUUAGGUACUUGGCCUAGUCGAGGUUGAAUUACAUUUUUUUCGGGUCUCCUGAUGACUCAGGAUGUUGGGUCCUAAAACUUCUUACCUGGAUCUCCACGGCAAUUGCCACUUUGGCCCUAUAUACCAGUGAGAAUGAAGUUUUCCCUGUUGCUACUUUUGGAGUUGUUAUGUAUGCCCAAAGGAUAUGAGGUAAUUCCUCAGGCUAGCUGCCUUUGGCUUUAUCGAGCCUUUCCUUCAACUCCUAGAGAAUUGUCAUGUUUGUUAUCUCAGUCAUGUCAUUAGUCUGCUGAUGGUAUGUUAAGCUUAACUGUAAGUCAAUAUCCAAUUUCCUGCAAAAUUCUUUAAACUUGAAAUAGCUCGGUCUGAUCAAGCCAUUAGUCUUAGUCAAGAAAAGUUUAUUUCUAAUUUGUUGAGUGAUGUUGGUAUGUUAUACUGUAAACUUGCUUUGUUUCCUCUACCUAGAGGUUUACAUUUAUCAUCGGGUAUAAGUGAACCUCUUAUUGAAUCAAAUUGUUAUCGAAGGCUUAUUGGGAGACUCUUGUAUAUUAAUCUCACUAGGCCAGACAUUAGCUAUGUUGUACAAUACCUCAGCCAGUUUAUGGCUGCCCAUAAAAGGCCUCAUUGAGAGGCAACCAUGCAUAUUUUACGAUAUCUGAAAGUUACUGUUAAUACUAGGUUUUGUUUUUCUGUUAAUUGUGAUUUUCGAGUCACUGCAUAUUGUGACUCAGAUUGGGCAUCCUAUUGCUUUUCUAGGAAAUCUUUAAUUAGGUUAGGUUUGGGAUCUUUCUUGGGCCCUCUUUGAUUUUUUGAAAAACAAAAAAGCUAUCUAUAGUUUUCAAAUUCUCUGCUGAGGCAGAGUAUAGGGCCAUGGCUGCAACAAUUUGUGAAUUACUUUAGAUUACAUCUAUUUUAUGAGAUUUGCAGGUUCCAGUUAGUUAUUUAAUUUAGCUUCAUUGUGACAACAAGGCGGCUCUCCAAAUUACAGCUAACCCGGUCUUCCAUGAAAGGACCAAACAUAUCGAUAGUGACUGUCACAUAGUGCAGGAACAACUUCAGAAGAGAUUUUUAACUAUUUCUUAUGUAUCAAGUCAAGACCAGAUAGCAGACCUAUUUACUAAGCCUCUGUCAGUUGUCUUACACUAGCACUUUUGCUUCAAGUUGUCUCUAAUGUCUUUCCUAGCUCCAACUUGAAAGGGGGGUGUAGAAGAAUAUGAAUGACGACUUGGCGACCUAAUGACCGAUUGACGACCUGACGACCUAAUGACCGACCGAUGACCUAACGACCUAAUGAUUGACUGGCGACCUGAUUAACUAAGUUAUAUUAUUUUAAAUGCUAUUUUGUAAAUGAGCUUUAUUAAGACCAGAUUAUUUUAGCUUGAAUUCUUUAAGAGAUAUUGUGUUAUUUUCUUUUUUGGACUGUGCAUUGUACGUGAAAUAGAUUUAUAGGCUUAAUAUAAAUGGUAUCUCUCGUAUAGGAUUGAUUCAUAAUUAAUAUAUCUGAAAUAUUAUUCAUUUCUCUUUCCUCACGGAGUCAUAUCAAUAAUAAUAAAAAAAAUCCAAUAAAGUCAAAGCCUCCAAUACAAUUCCAAUACCUCGAAACCUUGAUGGGUCUACCAUAUAAGCAAUGGAGAAUGUUGUGGAUGAUGGAAUCAAUCAUAUAAUUUUCCAUCAUUUUAAAAUGGGCAAAAUGGAUAGAAAUGAUUAAACUUUUUUUCCUUUUGUUGUCUUUUGUUAAUUAUAGUUAACAUCUGGCCGAACACUAUUUGAUAUAGUCUGGAGAUAAGUAUAAACUUUGACUGACCUCUUCAAUGCCCGGAACGACUAGGCCGACCACUUCAAGACUCGCAUCACAAAUAAGACAAUUGAAUACAGGAAAAGCCAACCUCAAUGACCGGAAGGAACUUGCCUUUGUAUAGGUCGGAUGAGCCGUGUACAAUCUGAUGAAACCAAAGUAAGACGCCGACCUCCAAUGCGAUGGUCGACUGCUCUAGCCCUCUCUGAGGUAUUAAAUGCACGUGUGAAAAGGUUACCCAACUGCUUGACACACCUGCCAAAGGGCAUUAGAACACGUGUCCACAGUCUCAAAGCAAACCACCAUCGAACGAAAUGGUUUCUUCGCCACACCAUUGCAAGAUUAUCAAAAUUCCUCAACUUGCAAUCGUUGAUCUAAAGAAAAAACUAAACUGAUAAUAUAUUAGAUAUAAGACUCUCUAUGAUCAGAACACAUGUUCACGGUCUGAUCAGGUUUAAAGAACCGAAGAGAAUCGACCUCAGUAAAGGCCCAGCAGGCCCAACACGAUUUGAUAUAGUCUAGAGAUAAGUACAAACUUUGACCAACCUCUUCAAUGUACGGAACGACUAGACCGACCACUUCAAGAGACACAUCACAAAUAAGACAAUUGAAUACAGGAAAAGCCGACCUCAAUGACCGGAAGGAACUUGCCUUUGUAUAGGUCGGAUGAGCCGAGUACAAUCUGAUGAAACCAGAGUAAGGCCUCGACCUCCAACGUGAUGACCGACCUCUUCAAUGUACGGAACGACUAGACUGACCACUUCAAGACUCACAUCACAAAUAAGACAAUUGAAUACAGGAAAAGCCGACCUCAAUGACCGGAAGGAACUUGCCUUUGUAUAGGUCGGAUGAGCCGAGUACAAUCUGAUGAAACCAGAGUAAGGCGCCGACCUCCAACGUGAUGACCGACCCGCAGCCCUCUCUGAGGUAUUAAAUGCGCAUGCGGAAAGGCUGCCCAGCCGCCUGACACACCUGCCAAAAGAACAUGGGCAAACCGGCUCUACAUUAAUUAAUCAAUUGCCAACUACUUAACAUACCUAUCACAGUACGCUACCAUCCAAUCUGAUGGGACAUAAAGCAGAUAAUCGAGGUACAAAAAUCCUUGAACCAACCUCUCUCAAGAGGCUCUUGACUCUCCCGGGGACUAGCUCUCCAAAAGCUAAUCUCUCUCAUAUACUCAUAAAAAAAUCCUCAAAAAAGAGACUCUCUGAAAAUUCCUCUUGAAAUUUUUUAUUAUUUAUUUUUUCUUUAUAUUAAUGAAUCUCAUAUAAUUUUUUAUUUAACUUAAAUGUCGGAGGGUCUUCAUCGAACCAUCCUAAUGAACCCUUGACUGUCUUCUUCAAAUCACUUUCUCAAGUAUGGAAAGAUCUAACAAAAUCAAUCAUGGAUCAACAGUCAACCCAUUAAAUUGAGUCCAUAUUUAGGUAUCAUCGUCUGGAUAUCCCGCUGGAUAUCGUUUUAUCAUACAUAAAAUAAAAAUAAAAUAAAAUAAAACUAAAAAAGAAAUUAACCGACAAAAUUUUAUAAAAAGAAACAGGUCCUUCCAGUGCCCAAAAGGCGGAGAAAGUUUAACUAAAACCAAAAAACGAAACUCGCAGAUAAAUACCUUCCAAAAACUAGAUGUAAACACAAUUUGAAAGUACAAAAGCUCAAACUUUCUACCUCUUCGCCUUUCCUUCCCUUUCCCUAAACUUUUUCUUUCCCUUUCUCUUUUUUUAUUUGUAUCAAUAAUGAAGAUUCACACAGAAAUUUUGCUAUGUGCCAAAAAUUUAUUAUUAUUAUUAUUAUUAUUUUGAUAUUAACAUUAUUUCAAUAUUAUCAUUAAGCGUUUAUAAAAAUGUCAUAAAUUAAUUUCAAUUGAUUAUAUGAAUACACAUAUUUAUGAUGAAAUGUAUAAUUAUAAUUCUUCAAUUAUAUUUAUGUUCAAGUACACGCACUUUAAAAAAUGAAUUAUGUUUAUUAUCAUUAUAAAUUUUAACACUCCGGGACCCAUUUUUUCAUACCCAUACCCGUCCAUUACUAAAUGAACGGGUUCUACCCAUUACAUUGGGUCAGGCGGGCGGGCAAAGUGGCCCAUUAAUAAUCGAAAGGAGCCCAUACUGAUGCUGCUGUGGGCUUGUCGCUUAGGGUUAUUCAAAUUGCUAUCUUUUAUUUGGCAAUCGUCACUCACUGCCGCCCCCUUUCCCCUUGUUUUGGAUCUCUCCUUCCCUGCAUUAGCUUGCUCUCUCUGUGCGUCUGCCGUUGUCACUGAAGACGUCUGGGUCUUUUGUUCUCACAGCAACCACAACAAAUUUUCUAGCAGCAUUCCUUCUCGGUACCUCUUCUAUCUUAGUAUUCUUCAAUUUUUUUAGUGUAAAUUUCUGUUGCUGUUAUGAUUUUUUUUUAUUGAUUAGGAACUAGAGAAUAAUGAGGCAAAAUUGUCUUGAACGCUAAAACUUUUUUGAGUUUUUUUUUUUAAUUAUUAUUAGAGUUUAUGGAAAAAAGUUUUUAUUGGAAAUCAGAUGCUUUAAGGAAAACGUUAUCCUUGGAAUAUCUGGUAAUUGUGUUUGUUCUUAUAUAUUAUUAAUUCAUAGAUGUAUCUCAUUGUUUUUGGUGUUUACUUGUGUUAUUUCAGAUUUUCGUUCGUUUCUGGUUCCAUUCAUUUAAUUUCUGCUAGAAGAUGGCAUCUCGUUUCUGGGGACAGGUCUGUUAUAGUUCUAAGUCUUCAUUUUGGGAAUUUGUAUGCUAGGGGAAUAUAAAUGAAAUUGUUUGCUGCUGCUUAUUUUUUCAGGGUGGCAGCGACUCUGAGGAGGAAGAGAGUGAAUUUGAAGAAGAUAUUGAUAAUGAGGCAGCAGGCGAGUCUACCACUCAAGCCCCACAAAACAGGUAUCUCAGGGGAACCGCUAGUGAUAGUGAUGACUCUGAUGAUCAAAAGCGUGUUGUCAGAUCCGCCAAAGACAAACGAUUUGAGGAGAUGUCGGCUACUGUUGAUCAAAUGAAGAAUGCAAUGAAGAUCAAUGAUUGGGUUAGCUUACAAGAGAGCUUUGAUAAAAUCAAUAAACAGCUUGAGAAAGUCAUGAGGGUGACAGAAUCUGACAAGGUCCCCACCCUUUACAUCAAAGCUCUUGUGAUGUUGGAGGAUUUCUUGAAUCAGGCUUUGGCAAAUAAGGAAGCAAAGAAGAAGAUGAGCAGUAGUAAUGCUAAGGCCUUGAACUCAAUGAAGCAGAAACUGAAGAAGAACAAUAAGCAAUAUGAGGAUUUGAUUAAUAAAUAUAGAGAGAAUCCAGAGAGUGAGGAGGAAGAGGAGGGAGAUGAGGAGACAGAAGAGGAGGAAGAUUCAGACUCAGAGUUUGUGGAGGACCCUUCAAAGAUUGCAAUGUCUGAUGAGGAUGAAGAGGAUGAUGAAGAUCGUCAGGAUAAUCGAACUGAGAUUGAAGGUGAUUGGCAGAAGAUGAUGAGCAAGAAAGAUAAGCUCAUGGAUAGACAGUUCAUGAAAGAUCCUAGUGAAAUAACCUGGGAUACAGUGAACAAAAAGUUUAAAGAGGUUGUUGCUGCUCGAGGUAGGAAGGGAACUGGAAGGUUUGAGCAGGUUGAGCAACUAACUUUCUUGACUAAGGUCGCUAAGACCCCUGCACAGAAGCUUGAGAUUCUUUUUAGUGUGGUCUCUGCCCAGUUUGAUGUGAAUCCAGGACUUAGUGGUCAUAUGCCCAUAAACAUAUGGAAGAAAUGCGUGCAGAAUAUGCUGGUUAUUCUUGAUAUUCUGGUCCAGUAUCCUAACAUUGUAGUGGAUGACAUGGUUGAGCCUGAUGAGAAAGAAACCCAGAAGGGGACAGACUAUGAUGGAACUAUUCGGGUUUGGGGGAACUUGGUGGCUUUCCUUGAGCGGAUAGAUGUUGAGUUCUUCAAGAGUUUGCAAUGUAUUGAUCCACAUACACGUGAAUAUGUUGAGAGACUGCAGGAUGAACCUAUGUUUUCGGUGCUCGCUCAAAGUGUCCAAGAGUAUCUAGAGAGGGUCAGAGACUUCAAAGCUGCAUCAAGGGUUGCCCUUAGGCGGGUUGAGCUGAUCUACUACAAACCGCAAGAGGUUUAUGAUGCUAUGAGGAAACUGGCUGAACAGGCAGAUGAUGGUGAAAAGUCAGGGGAGGAGCCUAAGGUUGAGGAAAGUAAGGGUCCAUCUGCUUUCGUUGCCACUCUAGAGCUUGUGCCCCGAAAGCCUACCUUCCCUGAGAGCAGCAGAACAAUGAUGGAUAUGUUGGUCUCUCUCAUAUACAAGUAUGGAGAUGAGCGAACUAAAGCUCGUGCAAUGCUUUGUGAUAUUUACCACCAUGCACUAUUGGAUGAGUUCUCAACCUCCCGGGACUUGUUAUUGAUGAGUCACCUGCAGGAUAGUGUCCAACAUAUGGACAUUUCAUCCCAGAUUCUUUUCAACAGGGCUAUGGCACAGCUUGGUUUAUGUGCAUUCCGUGUUGGGCUAAUCACUGAAGGACAUGGUUGCCUUUCUGAAUUGUAUUCCGGUGGAAGGGUAAAGGAAUUGCUGGCACAAGGUGUUUCACAAAGUCGGUAUCAUGAGAAGACUCCAGAACAGGUACGUCUCUUUCUGUAUAAUCUGAUAUGUGUUCAAUAUCUGUCAUGUAAUUGGUUGUUUUUGCGUCAUUUCAUGUUUUCAACAACUUGGAAGUUGCAGAAGCGUCAGUAAUUGUUAACUUUGCUGUUUUAAAGUUAACAACCUAUAGUUUUUGGAUUCUUGUGAUAGUGUUGUUGAAUGCAAGACUUUUAGCAUGAUCUAUGACAUUUAUAUUAUUUUAUGACUUAUUGUUUUAAAAAAAGAAAUGGUCCAUUCGUUGGUAGAGACCGAUUGUUUAAAUUGAAUGCGAAAAAGAAAUGGCGAUUGGUAUAAUACACUAUGCAAUUCUCUAAAUAUUGUCGCUUAUUUUCCUUCAUUUUUUUUCAUCAAACCUGUAAAAUUUUGGUGCACAUUCCAGAUUAGAUGCAUUUUUAGUGUGUAUGUGGAAUUUUAUUAUUUUAUAAUAAUGGUCUGUGUCAAGAGUUUGAUCCAAUGCUUGCAAACUCCCUUUCCAUGUUGUUCAAGAAUUUCUCAUUAAUGAUUUUAGUGUGGAAGUCGUAAAUGUGGUGUUGCAAUUUUGUUGCUUUUGAGACUGCACCUUAAAUGAAAAGAUUUUCAAACUAAAGACUUCCUACUAUAGAUGUAAUAAAUCUAUUCACAUGUAGGGUAAGAAUAUAUAUGAUAUAGUUGACUUUUUCCAAAUGCUUAUGCUGCUAGUUGAGUAAACUGAUUUUUGUGUGCACUCGAAUUUUCAUUUUGGAAGUGAACCAUAACCUUUUGUGGUACAGAACCUCACUUUUUCAUUCUGGAGAUCCAAAAUGCAUGUAGCAUAUAUUGGAGAUAAAAUGGGCGAGGGUUGAUUAGGUUGGUUUGGAUAUGUCCAAUAUAGCAUCAAAUAUCUUAGCAUGGAAGUGUGAUAUGUUAGUAGGGGAAGGGGGAGACCUAAAGUGACAUGGGUAGAAGUGGUUUCAAAAUAUAUACAAGUUUUGGAUAUUGUUACGGACUUGGUGUCCUGUAGAGAUGAACAGCUGACGCUAACUAGUUUGGGAAGGUUCAGCUGUUGCGGGGGAUUGUUUGGGGUUAUUAGAUCUAAUAACAUUAGGUAAACUAAUUGUUACAUACUACUACUACUACUACUAUGCCUUUCAGAACACAAAGCAUAGAUCCAUAGAUGAUAUCUAGCUUGAUGUCAGACUUUACAUGCUGCCAUAACAGACUACUCUUAAAAAGGAUUAGGUAGGAAUUUUAACUUUUAAUGUCCUGGUGUUUCCGAGACUUACAUGUUAGCAUGGCCCUAGUCAAUUAAGUUUUGGUUAUGAAUCAUGAUGCAGCUCUCAACAUUUUCUUAUACUUGUCUUUGCUGUCUUUCCUGUAUUUUCUUUCCCCCCUCCCAAGUGAGGAUAUUUUAACCAACUGAUUCAGAGAUUCAGUGUCGUGACUUUUCUCUCCCUUUUAUCUCGCAAGGGCCAAUGUAGCAUUCACUGGAGCGCAAAAAAAAAAAGGUAUUCUUUGUCUGGUACUUUGCUAGUGGUGUUUAAGCCUUGGGAGGUGUUCUGCAGCUGCUGUUGCAAUUUGAUGGGCUUGUGAACUAGUUCAAAAUAAAUGUGUGUAUGAUCCGUAAGAUUGAUUUAUAGCUGAAAGGGUUUGUAGUUGGGUUACUUAUUAUAUGUAAUGUAAUUCUGGCUAUUUCUGUGCUUUCUUGUUUGAAGUUUUAAGCAUCAUGGAGUGGACUGCAUAGAAGGCCCUUGGGUGGCGCAAAACAUGUUAUAUGAUAGUUGUUUUGUUUUCAUGGUCAGAUAAUUUAAUUGUGUUAUAUGAAGUAUUGGUGAUGUUUUUGCAUUGUUAUUGUGAAAAUAUUUUUUGUUACUUUUGAUCCAAAUGUAGCAUUGCUGUUAAGGCAUGCAUAUAUUAUUUUCCCAAGUGUCCUCUUAACAGUCGUAAAAAUCGAUAACCACAGGAAAGGCUGGAAAGGAGACGCCAGAUGCCAUAUCAUAUGCACAUAAAUCUUGAGCUUCUAGAGGCGGUUCAUCUCAUUUGUGCCAUGCUGCUGGAGGUCCCCAACAUGGCAGCCAACACUCUUGAUGCUAAGCGCAAAGUCAUUAGCAAGACAUUUAGGCGGUUGCUUGAGGUGAGUGAGAGGCAAACUUUCACAGGCCCUCCUGAAAAUGUCAGGGAUCAUGUGAUGACUGCCACUCGAGCUCUUACUAAGGGAGAUUUCCAGAAGGCCUUUGAUGUUAUCAAGUCUCUUGAUUUCUGGAGGCUUCUAAGGAACAGAGACAGUGUCCUUGAGAUGCUUAAGGCCAAGAUCAAGGAAGAAGCUCUGAGGACCUACCUUUUUACCUACUCAUCCUCUUAUGGGUCGCAUAGCUUGGACCAACUCACCAAAAUGUUUGAUCUCUCUGGAGCCCAGAUUCACAGCAUUGUUAGCAAGAUGAUGAUCAAUGAAGAGCUGCAUGCGAGUUGGGACCAGCCAACACAGUGCAUCGUCUUUCAUGAUGUUGAGCACACAAGGUUGCAGGUUCUGGCAUUCCACUUAACAGAGAAGCUAUCAGUUCUUGCUGAAAGUAAUGAAAGGGCAAUAGAGGCAAGGAUUGGUGGUGGUGCUGGUUUGGAUUUGCCUAUGAGGCGGAAAGAUGGCCAGGAUUAUGCUAGCAUGGCUGCUGGUGGUGGCAAGUGGCAAGACAAUUCAUCUUUCACUCAGGGGAGGCAAGGGUCAGGGCGUUCAGGAUAUAAUGUUGGUGGUGGGAGACCACCAGCAUUAAGCCAAGGUACUGGUGGUGGUUAUUCAAGAGGGACACGUUCAGGUGGAUAUUCUGGAGGUUCACGAUACCAAGACGGUGCAUAUGGCGGGCCAGGAAGAACUGGAGUGAGGGGAUCUCAAAUGGAUGGUUCUAACCGUAUGGUUAAUCUUAACAGGGGAGUUCGUGCUUAAGGAUAAAACAGAGAGUGCUGAAAGAAAGAGAGGCUAUCAAUUUUUGUUCAACCAACAAGUGUCUUCAGUUGGUUGAAGAGAUUUGUUUUGUUGUUGCUUUUGCAUUUCAUCUCCAUUUAUAAGCGUAAUUGAACGCCAAAACUAGCCUUCAAAUUUUAUUUUUGGCCAAGAAGAGCAUGCAAACAUCUAUUUUAAAUCAGGUGCUAUAUUCCUUGUUUGAAUUAUUGAAUUUGUCCUCAGGGUAUAUCAAGAUAAAAUUAAAUUUCGCCUUUUUUGUUUUUUCUAAGAAAAGAUAGAUUGCGUUUAUAAAACUCAAACAUCUAGCUUUGGGAGGGCGACUGGCUCAUUUUCAAAUAACAAGCUCUAAAUCCACACAACCAACAUGGAGAAAACACAUUUCUCAGAACAAAAGCAGCCCCCCUUUAACCAUAAAACUCAGAUUUGGGAUGAAAACAAUAGACACAUAUUUAAAAAUUACCUGAGAUAGUGAGGGAAGACCAAAACUAGGCCCCAAAGAAGAGUACCACCACAGAAGGAGAAAAUUUGAUUGGAUUUUCUCUUUCAAGAAAGACGAGAGAGGUAAAAGACUUGACGGGAUAGCCUGUUCAUAUUAUUAGUUUUAACAAAUUAAGAAAUGUUAUUACGUUAAUCAAAACUGUAAUUCAAAGGCUUAAAAUAUACUUACACCCUAUUAAACUCUUAAACUAAAAUUAUAAAUUGAUUACAAAAAUUAUAACAAUUAAACAUUAAUAUGAAAAAUAAAAGUUGAUUACAUAUAUUCUUAAUUUUGCUGGAUUUGUUUUAAAUUUUUAUAAAUUAUAAAGUUAGACAAAAAUAAUUUUAUUAUUUUAUGAAAUUUAAAACACAAUUGAAGAUUUUUAGAGUAUAAUUAAUAAAUAAUGAAAUUUUAUUUUGUUAAUUCAAUAAUGACAUAAUUAAUUUAUAUUUAAUUAUUAUACUUUUUAUAAAUUUAUGCAUUUAAUAAUUAUAAUUUAAUUCAUCAAUUUAAUGGAUUAACUUCAAAUACUAUAAGAGUAUAGACAUGUAUUUAACUUUUUUUUUUAUUCAUUGUCCAUCAUCAAUUAGUAAUUUCUUGUGGUAUUUGCAUUUGAAUUAGGUCAUUGCUUGCCAGGGUACUUUAAUCCCAUAUUUAACCUUUGAUUUGAAAAUGUAUCAAUUCGUGUGCUAAGCUUUUCCUUAAAAAGGAGAUUUAGAAAAAAAUUGGGUUUAGGGACGAGUGAAUAAGUUUAAAAUAAGUUUAAUCCCUUUCCUUCCUUAUUUUCUCUUUAUAUCUCUUCUCUUUCAUUUUUUAAUGACGUCUUCUCAUCAUGCAUGACCGUAAAUAAGAAUAUUCUUUUUUUUUAUUGUUAAACAGUUAUUUAAUUCCUUUCUAUACCGGUAUGAGUCAAUGUAUAGGGGUUUGUUCCCUGACUGUCUCAUAGAGUUCUUCUUUGAUGAGUCAGGACUCCGAUCAAUCUGAUCUGCGCAUUAAUAAACCAGUUUCUGUAGUGAAAUCUGAUAGAGUUUAAGCAUAACUCUCCUACAAGAGUUGACCAUGCCCGGUGCCCAGCGUUCAUAAGGAAAUUUGAUUGACUGUUUAAGCAAACAUCUCUAAUAAACUUAGUUGCUAUGCUAUGACUGACUGGAUGAGUUUGUGCUUUUCUAGCUUUGCAUGUAUCUUUUCUUAAUGGAGCCAAAUCUUCCAUUAGAUCCUAGGGUUUUUCUGUAAUGGGCCAAAGAUUCUUUCUUGUGGGUCCACUAUAAUCUUUGCUAGUAACCUUUUUUUAGAUGUAAUCUUGUUAUCCAUAUGAUGCAAAAUACUUAUAUUUCCUUCUUUUUAUACCACAACAUUGCCACAGAAGAUAUUAUCAGCAAACAUGCAGCAUUUUGGCGUAAGAGAUUUUACUAUAACGUUUUAAAAUUUAGGAAUUUUAUGGUAACAAAAAUAAAAAGGGUAAACUACAGUUUAGUCCCUCUAGUUUAAUAAAAUAUUUACUUUAGUUCUUAUGUUUUUAAAAACCUACAGUUUAAUCUUUCACAUUUAAAAAAACUGCAAAAUAGUUCCUACCGUUAAAUUUUCAGUUAACCUUCCAUUUAUUUUAAUGAAAAUGACUAAACUACUCUUUAAAUGAAAAGAUCCAAUCAAACAUUAUUUUUCACUUUCAAAUUAGCCCAUCUCACUACCUCUCUGUAACGACCCCAAAAUGGACCGUCACCGGCGCUAGGAUUCAGGUCGGCUUAAGGCCGCCAUAACCCGUAGCAAACCUGCUAUACUCUCUGUGUACAUGUAAAUCUCAUACAUGAUCAUACAUUUUCUGUGAAAAUAAAAACUCUUUUCUGAACCAAGGCUUAACCUGUGCAUGCACUAUCUCUGUACUCUGUACUCUGUACUCUGUACCCCUGACUAGAGCUUGCUCUAGAUGGGUUAACUCAUACCUGUUAAGCCUGGUAGUUCACAUACGCUGUAAAACAUAUACAUAUACAGAUCAUGUACAUAACAACAGCUUUACAACACAAACAACUAAGUCAAGCACAUCUGUAACUGAAAACAUAACUAUUACAUCUCUUUAACAUUACAUGUCCACUCUACACUAUUACAUUUCUCGUUACUCUUUCUAUGCUCUGCUGACUUGCCCUGUACACUGUACACUGAACCUGCAAAACUGGGGUUAAGGGAGUGGGAUGAGCUCUAUAGCCCAGUGAGUAGAACAGUAAAACAACACAGUCAAACCACAUCAAGAGUAAAUCUGUCACCACAUAGUCCCAGUAACUCUGUGCCAGGGCGUAGAAUCGAGCACCUGGUCUUCCUGUCAUAUAUAUAUAUAUGUGUAUAUAACACCUCUGUACUUACCAUUGCCAGGGCGUAGUCAAAGGCUCCUGGUCUUUACUAUAACUGCCAGGGCAUAGUCAAAGGCUCCUGGUCUUUACUAUACCUGCCAGGGCGUAGUCAAAGGCUCCUGGACUUUCAACUAAUCAUGAAAACGAAUCAAAUCUGUGCAUGAGUUAAUGAAAACAUGGAAGAAAACUCACAAAGGACAGGGUUUCACCUUAGAAGAUAAAAGAAACGGUGCUUGCACCGCUUCAACCGACUGAGGGCCAUUUAUAGGUGGCUAGCCAGACCACCUUCGGCAGCCACACGUGAAACCGAAAGCCAUGCAUGUUCGGCGGCCGAACCUCAACUUCGGCGGCCGAACCUGGCUUUUCUGCCUUGGUUCAUUUCACUCAAAAACUCAUUUCUUAGGCAUAAAACUUAAUAAACAUAUCAAAACAUUUAAGAAAAACAUAAUUCUAACCCUUCUAGAGACUUCCGACAUCCCGGACUCCACCGGAAAGUAGACUUCCGAUACCGGACUCUAACAGAGUAUUACACUCUCCUUCCCGAUUCUCUUCUUCCUUUUCUCCUCAUCAUUCUCCUUCUUUUCUUGAUCCUCUUCUUCCUUCUUCUUCCGUGUUUGAUUUCAUGCAAUUGGGCGAGAUGGUAAUGGUGAUUAUACGAAUAUAGGUAAAUCUGAAGAGCUUCUUCCUUCUCUCCUCAUCCUUCUUCUUCUUCUGUGUUUGAUUUCAUGCAAUUGGGCGAGAUGGUAGUGGUGAUUAUACGAAUAUGGAUAAAUCUGAAGAGUUUCUUCCUUUUCUCCUCAUCCUUUUCUCCUCAUCCUUCUUCUUCUUCUGUAUUUGAUUUCAUGCAAUUAGGCGAGAUGGUAGUGGUGAUUAUACGAAUAUGGAUAAAUCUGAAUAGCUUCUUCCUUCUCUCCUCAUCCUUCUUAUUUUUCUGUGUUUGAUUUCAUGCAAUUGGGCGAGAUGGUAGUGGUGAUUAUACGAAUAUGGAUAAAUCUGAAGAGAGAAGAAGAACAAUGAUGAGAAUAAAAUAGAGCAGAUAAGUGAGUAAGAGCAGCCGCAACUAAGAAGAAGGAGGAUGAGGAGAAGAAGAAGGAGAAGGAGAGGAUUGAGAAGGGGAGAUAGUGGGAUGGAGUGAAUACUGUUUGGUUGAAUUUUUUUACUUAAAGGGUAGUUUAGUUAUUUUCAUUAAAAUAAACGGAAGGUUAAUUGAAAAUUUGACGGUAGAGACUAUUUUGCAGUUUUUUUAAAUGUGAAAAAUUAAAUUAUAGGUUUUUAAAAAUACAGAAACUAAAGUAAAUAUUUCAUUAAACUAGAGGGAUUAAACUGUAGUUUACCCAAAUAAAAAUGAUAACAUGAUGUGAAAUACUCUUCAAACUCGAGGGAUUACCAGUAAAAAUUACUCAAAAACUAAGGCUUCAUUUGUUUCAAGAGAAUUAUUUUUUAUAUUUUUUAAUGUUUGAGACACAUAUGAAAAUUAGUUAGAAUAUUUUUUUAAUAAAAGAAAAAUAUUAAAUCAUAUGUAAAAUGACUUCUUUCUACGUUUUGAAAAUCUUAGUAAGAUCUUUUUAUAUAAAUGUAUUAAUAUAUAUAUUAUUUUUAAGGGUUGGUGUUAAAAAUUCUAAUUUUUGUAUCACUUUACGAUUUAAUUUUUAGUUUUCAAUUUUGGCACAAUAAACUAUUUUUUUUUAAAUUCUUAAAAAAUUUUAUUCUAAUUUCAAACUGAAAUUAGAUAGAGCCUGUUUUCAUCUACCUAGCAAAUCUAAUCCCGUGGGUUAUUUUGCUAUUAUUUAAUCGGGCCGCUUGAUAAAUUUUUAAUUAUGGUAUUUCAUACAAAUUUUUACAAAUCAGUGUAAUUUGAUUUAUUUCAAAGAAAUUGAAUUUCUCAAAGCAACUCCUACAAAUUUUAUAUAUCAUUUCAAGCAAUCUCAACAACAGCUCACAAAUUCUAAAAAAUAAAACACAAAUUACAUAUGUAGAUAUAAAAAAUUGAAUUGCAGAUUACACGAAAAUAUAGAUUUGAACAAAUAAAUCCAAACACAAAAAUUAUAAAUUAUUCACAAAUAACAAAUCCACAUGCGGACAAAGAAUAAACAGCCAGAGGAACACAAAUUAUACAAUUAAAUCUAAAGCCAAACAUCAAACAUAGCCUCACAAUACCGUAAUCAAUAACCAACUAAAGAUUCAAAGUCAUAUGCCCAUAUGGAAUCAAACAAGAUAAAAAUCUACUGUCGAGGCUUUAGAAAACUAAAGCUAGAUAGAUCAAUUCACCUUCAUUGCUGCUGGAUGACCAUCUGCCACCUUGAAAAUUAACUCUAAUGAUAUAGCUUGCAUUCACAUCAUUAGAUGUUGAAGAUUCAACAUCAUCUGCCUUCAUGCGAGAUGUCCAUGUCAACGGAAAUAAGGAAGUGGCAGUGAGCGAAGAUAAAGUGGCAGAAGGUCGACGACAACAACACCAGUCUUUAUACCCAUAUUAUAACUGAGUAUCUAACCAUAUUAUGGCUGAGCAUCAGUGUAGAGAUUGAAGGAGAAGGAAAAGGAGCUCUGAAAAAAAAAACAGAGAAGGGUGUGGAAUGGAAGGUGGAGCCGCGGUUGAAAAACUUUUGAUGUUUAAAGUUGGGAUGUUAAUGAAUUAGGGUUUUAUUUAGUUUGGUUAAAAAUUAAAGUUGAAUUCAAAUCUUAUUGACUAAUUAAUUAAAUCAAAC